Molecule: ribosomal RNA, 253 nt
Filed under: uncultured bacterium
Lineage: Bacteria
Description: partial 16S ribosomal RNA
Rfam family: Bacterial small subunit ribosomal RNA
Source: RNAcentral
GACAGAGGUGCCAAGCGUUAGGCGGAAUCACUGGGCUUAAAGCGUGUGUAGGCGGACCCGUCAGUACCUUGUGAAAUCCCACGGCUCAACCGUGGAACUGCUCGGUAUACUGCGGGUCUUGAGCCACUUAGGGGCUGUCGGAACAAACGGUGGAGCGGUGAAAUGCGUAGAGAUCGGGAGGAACACCAGAGGCGAAGGCGGCGACCUGGACAGACACUGACACUCAACUGCGAAAGCGUGGGGAGCAAACAGG